This 1024-nucleotide ribosomal RNA is filed under the name Mycobacterium sp. IP20010947. RNAcentral describes it as "bacterial SSU rRNA". It matches the Rfam family "Bacterial small subunit ribosomal RNA", at positions 8 to 1036 of the family's 1533-position model. The record is from RNAcentral. Lineage: Bacteria; Bacillati; Actinomycetota; Actinomycetes; Mycobacteriales; Mycobacteriaceae.
GAGAGUUUGAUCCUGGCUCAGGACGAACGCUGGCGGCGUGCUUAACACAUGCAAGUCGAACGGUAAGGCCCUUCGGGGUACACGAGUGGCGAACGGGUGAGUAACACGUGGGUGAUCUGCCCUGCACUUCGGGAUAAGCCUGGGAAACUGGGUCUAAUACCGAAUAGGACCACGGGAUGCAUGUCCUGUGGUGGAAAGCUUUUGCGGUGUGGGAUGGGCCCGCGGCCUAUCAGCUUGUUGGUGGGGUGAUGGCCUACCAAGGCGACGACGGGUAGCCGGCCUGAGAGGGUGUCCGGCCACACUGGGACUGAGAUACGGCCCAGACUCCUACGGGAGGCAGCAGUGGGGAAUAUUGCACAAUGGGCGCAAGCCUGAUGCAGCGACGCCGCGUGGGGGAUGACGGCCUUCGGGUUGUAAACCUCUUUCACCAUCGACGAAGGUUCGGGUUCUCUCGGAUUGACGGUAGGUGGAGAAGAAGCACCGGCCAACUACGUGCCAGCAGCCGCGGUAAUACGUAGGGUGCGAGCGUUGUCCGGAAUUACUGGGCGUAAAGAGCUCGUAGGUGGUUUGUCGCGUUGUUCGUGAAAUCUCACGGCUUAACUGUGAGCGUGCGAGCGAUACGGGCAGACUGGAGUACUGCAGGGGAGACUGGAAUUCCUGGUGUAGCGGUGGAAUGCGCAGAUAUCAGGAGGAACACCGGUGGCGAAGGCGGGUCUCUGGGCAGUAACUGACGCUGAGGAGCGAAAGCGUGGGGAGCGAACAGGAUUAGAUACCCUGGUAGUCCACGCCGUAAACGGUGGGUACUAGGUGUGGGUUUCCUUCCUUGGGAUCCGUGCCGUAGCUAACGCAUUAAGUACCCCGCCUGGGGAGUACGGCCGCAAGGCUAAAACUCAAAGAAAUUGACGGGGGCCCGCACAAGCGGCGGAGCAUGUGGAUUAAUUCGAUGCAACGCGAAGAACCUUACCUGGGUUUGACAUGCACAGGACGCGUCUAGAGAUAGGCGUUCCCUUGUGGCCUGUGUGCA